UUUAUAUUUUUUAUUACAUGCACUUCUGUGUUCUUUGUAUCUCUCACGACAAUGUCUUUCAACAAUUUCAACCAUCCGUUGAUCAUUUAAAUCAACAUCAAAUUUUUCCUGAACAUAGAGAAAAUAAGACUUCAGUGAUUAGAGUAUUAAGCAUAAUCCAAAUGAAUUACAAAAUUUACUUACAAGAAGACGAUUAUAGGCUAAUUCUCUAUCAUG
Molecule: long non-coding RNA, 216 nt
Filed under: Olea europaea (common olive)
Lineage: Eukaryota; Viridiplantae; Streptophyta; Magnoliopsida; Lamiales; Oleaceae
Description: long non-coding RNA (OEUR_LNC010904)
Source: RNAcentral